GAUGAACGCUGGCGGCGUGCCUAAUACAUGCAAGUCGAGCGAACAGACGAGGCGCUUGCUCCUCUGACGUUAGCGGCGGACGGGUGAGUAACACGUGGAUAACCUACCUAUAAGACUGGGAUAACUUCGGGAAACCGGAGCUAAUCCCGGAUAAUAUAUUGAACCGCAUGGUUCAAUAGUGAAAGACGGUUUUGCUGUCACUUAUAGAUGGAUCCGCGCCGCAUUAGCUAGUUGGUAAGGUAACGGCUUACCAAGGCGACGAUGCGUAGCUGACCUGAGAGGGUGAUCGGCCACACUGGAACUGAGACACGGUCCAGACUCCUACGGGAGGCAGCAGUAGGGAAUCUUCCGCAAUGGGCGAAAGCCUGACGGAGCAACGCCGCGUGAGUGAUGAAGGUCUUCGGAUCGUAAAACUCUGUUAUUAGGGAAGAACAAAUGUGUAAGUAACUAUGCACGUCUUGACGGUACCUAAUCAGAAAGCCACGGCUAACUACGUG
Molecule: ribosomal RNA, 497 nt
Filed under: uncultured bacterium
Lineage: Bacteria
Description: partial 16S ribosomal RNA
Rfam family: Bacterial small subunit ribosomal RNA
Source: RNAcentral